This is a long non-coding RNA of Drosophila navojoa, 275 nucleotides long. The record is from RefSeq and is a predicted model, not a curated record. NCBI's taxonomy places the organism in Eukaryota, Metazoa, Arthropoda, Insecta, Diptera, Drosophilidae.
CAGAUAGUAGUUGGCCCAAAAGGCAUAUGAAGGGAGUUUGCGGCACUUUUUGAUUUGCUUUUCCAAUUGCACGGCGCCUCAGAUCAAAGCCAGGCAGCGCGACCUUAUCAAGCAUAACGCUGGCGCUUCCUUCCCACUUACCCAACUACCUCGACUCUAUCAAAUAUGGGCUCUAUUCGAAUUAGAUUGAUUAUCGAUGACUUCAUAACGGUAACGUAUGCAAAUAGCAUGAAUGAAUAAUGAAUAUGAAUAGCAUAUGAUUCGCUUUACUAUCU